Sordaria brevicollis is the source of this 72-nucleotide non-coding RNA. Lineage: Eukaryota; Fungi; Ascomycota; Sordariomycetes; Sordariales; Sordariaceae. The record is from the annotation of a GenBank genome assembly.
GGGUAUGUAGAGUAAUGGCAACUCAUCAGACUUCUAAUCUGAGGAUUGCGGGUUCGAGUCCCGUCAUACCCU